This 173-nucleotide ribosomal RNA is filed under the name Dyadobacter sp. SG02. RNAcentral's name for it is "23S rRNA. Bacterial LSU". It matches the Rfam family "Bacterial large subunit ribosomal RNA", at positions 2741 to 2925 of the family's 2925-position model. Lineage: Bacteria; Pseudomonadati; Bacteroidota; Cytophagia; Cytophagales; Spirosomataceae. The record is from RNAcentral.
CCGGGUAGCUAUGUGGGGAAUAGAUAAGCGCUGAAAGCAUCUAAGUGCGAAACUAGCCCGAAGAUGAAUCUUCCACAUAAGGGUCGUUGUAGACUACGACGUUGAUAGGCUGCAGGUAUACGUGUCGAAAUACACUCAGCUGAGCAGUACUAAUUACCCAACAGCUUGCACAA